This 253-nucleotide ribosomal RNA is filed under the name uncultured prokaryote. Its description in RNAcentral is "partial 16S ribosomal RNA". It matches the Rfam family "Bacterial small subunit ribosomal RNA", at positions 525 to 777 of the family's 1533-position model. The record is from RNAcentral.
ACGAAGGGUGCGAGCGUUAAUCGGAAUUACUGGGCGUAAAGCGCGCGUAGGUGGUUUGGUAAGCGAUAUGUGAAAUCCCCGGGCUUAACCUGGGAAUGGCAUUUGGGACUGCAAGGCUUGAGUGCGGCAGAGGAGACUGGAAUUCCUGGUGUAGCAGUGAAAUGCGUAGAUAUCAGGAGGAACACCGAUGGCGAAGGCAGGUCUCUGGGCUGACACUGACGCUCAUGCACGAAAGCGUGGGGAGCAAACAGGA